This 254-nucleotide ribosomal RNA is filed under the name uncultured bacterium. RNAcentral's name for it is "partial 16S ribosomal RNA". It matches the Rfam family "Bacterial small subunit ribosomal RNA", at positions 524 to 776 of the family's 1533-position model. The record is from RNAcentral.
UACGAAGGGUGCAAGCGUUGCUCGGAAUUAUUGGGCGUAAAGGGCAGGUAGGUGGUCUGAUUAGUCACUAGGUGAAAUCCUUCGGCUUAACCGAAGAAGUGCCUGUGAAACGGUCAGACUGGAGUACUCUAGAGGGUCGUGGAAUUCCCGGUGUAGCGGUGAAAUGCGUAGAGAUCGGGAGGAACACCAGAGGCGAAGGCGGCGACCUGGGGAGUGACUGACACUCAACUGCGAAAGCGUGGGGAGCAAACAGG